Momordica charantia (bitter melon) is the source of this 634-nucleotide long non-coding RNA. RefSeq lists it as uncharacterized. Lineage: Eukaryota; Viridiplantae; Streptophyta; Magnoliopsida; Cucurbitales; Cucurbitaceae. The record is from RefSeq and is a predicted model, not a curated record.
ACUGUGUAAUGGAAAUGGCAGGCCAAACCCAAAACUUUCUCACGAUUUUGCUCCUCUCUCUCCUCGUCUCCUUCAACACUGUCUCUGCAUCAAGUUCCUACAUUUACAGGGGCUGCAGUUAUGAUCCACCUUGGCCAAGAUUUUCCAGCCUCCCAAGCUGCUCACCAGAAGAAUCAGCCACCACAAAAGUUGUUCAAUGGCAGAAUGGAUUUACAGUACGGUGACUAUCCAGUUUCUGGAGCUAAUCCUCGCCACACUCCAAAGCCACCCCCGGGGAGAGUUUAAUUAAGAUAAAAAAAAAAAAUUAUAGAAAUCAUCAAUUCAGCUUCUGUGAACUUAACUUAAUCAUGGUUAUUUGAGACUUCAAGUUCCAUCAGAUUGAAGUUUUGUUGCAGCCCCAAAAAGAAUCACAAAUCUAUUCUGUUUCGUGAAUUGUUCGGCUAAAAAUUGACUCACAAUUUCACUCCACAAUUGCUGAAAUCAUAUUCAUGAGUUACUAUUAAAGAUUUUUGUUCUAAGCUAGACUAAUAACACAUAAUCCAGAGACAGACCAAGGGGGGAAAUUUUGAGAAUCGACUGGAGGAUUUCGAAUUGAAUCCCCAUUUGUGAUGGCAUUGUCAAAAGAGACUCACCC